RNAcentral lists this ribosomal RNA (464 nucleotides) under uncultured bacterium. RNAcentral's name for it is "partial 16S ribosomal RNA". It matches the Rfam family "Bacterial small subunit ribosomal RNA", at positions 28 to 507 of the family's 1533-position model. The record is from RNAcentral.
GACGAACGCUGGCGGCGUGCUUAACACAUGCAAGUCGAGCGAUGAAGUUCCCUUCGGGGAACGGAUUAGCGGCGGACGGGUGAGUAACACGUGGGUAACCUGCCUCAAAGAGGGGGAUAGCCUCCCGAAAGGGAGAUUAAUACCGCAUAAUAUCUUUUUAAUGCAUGUUAGAAAGAUUAAAGGAGCAAUCCGCUUUGAGAUGGACCCGCGGCGCAUUAGCUAGUUGGUGAGGUAACGGCUCACCAAGGCGACGAUGCGUAGCCGACCUGAGAGGGUGAUCGGCCACAUUGGGACUGAGACACGGCCCAGACUCCUACGGGAGGCAGCAGUGGGGAAUAUUGCGCAAUGGGGGAAACCCUGACGCAGCAACGCCGCGUGAGUGAUGAAGGUCUUCGGAUCGUAAAGCUCUGUCUUCAGGGACGAUAAUGACGGUACCUGAGGAGGAAGCCACGGCUAACUACGUG